AUUUAUAGCCUAAGGUGCUGAAAAAUAAAGCUAAGAGAAUUCAAAAUUCCCUCCUAAAAACUAUUCAAAACCGGCGCCUAUUCCAUGCAUGAGGAAGGUGUGACUCUUUCCUUCACUUUGGCACCUCCUAUUCUACUCCUACACCUAUCUACUAAUACACCCCCCUAAAGCUCCUAACUAAAGCCUAAAAGAUGCUAAAACAAAAGAGGUUUC
Molecule: long non-coding RNA, 213 nt
Filed under: Phaseolus vulgaris (common bean)
Lineage: Eukaryota; Viridiplantae; Streptophyta; Magnoliopsida; Fabales; Fabaceae
Description: long non-coding RNA (PVUL_LNC005046)
Source: RNAcentral